UGCAGUCGACGGAGUUAUGUUGACAGAAGCCUUCGGGUGGAAGAUGAGAUAACUUAGUGGCGGACGGGUGAGUAACACGUGAGCAACCUGCCUAUCAGAGGGGGAUAACGUUCUGAAAAGAACGCUAAUACCGCAUAACGUGCGAGGGAGACAUCUCUCUUGUACCAAAGGAGCAAUCCGCUGAUAGAUGGGCUCGCGUCCGAUUAGGUAGUUGGUAGGGUAACGGCCUACCAAGCCGACGAUCGGUAGCCGGACUGAGAGGUUGAACGGCCACAUUGGGACUGAGACACGGCCCAGACUCCUACGGGAGGCAGCAGUGGGGAAUAUUGCACAAUGGGGGAAACCCUGAUGCAGCGACGCCGCGUGAGGGAAGAAGGUUUUCGGAUUGUAAACCUCUGUCCUUGGUGACGAAAAUGACGGUAGCCAAGGAGGAAGCCACGGCUAACUACGUGCCAGCAGCCGCGGUAAUACGUAGGUGGCAAGCGUUGUCCGGAAUUACUGGGUGUAAAGGGAGCGUAGGCGGGAAGAUAAGUUGGACGUCUAAUCUAUCGGCUCAACCGAUAGUCGCGUUCAAAACUGUUUUUCUUGAGUGAAGUAGAGGUAAGCGGAAUUCCUAGUGUAGCGGUGAAAUGCGUAAAUAUUAGGAGGAACACCAGUGGCG
RNAcentral lists this ribosomal RNA (661 nucleotides) under uncultured bacterium. RNAcentral describes it as "bacterial SSU rRNA". It matches the Rfam family "Bacterial small subunit ribosomal RNA", at positions 56 to 717 of the family's 1533-position model. The record is from RNAcentral.